Bactrocera neohumeralis is the source of this 491-nucleotide long non-coding RNA. RefSeq lists it as uncharacterized. The record is from RefSeq and is a predicted model, not a curated record. Lineage: Eukaryota; Metazoa; Arthropoda; Insecta; Diptera; Tephritidae. The transcript is spliced from 2 exons.
UCAGUUUGAUACUGUCUGAUAACGCAUCUGAACUCUAUUUGAUACCAUAUCUCUUUAGAAAAAUAGUUUGAAAAAUUUUAUUAAACACAUUGCAUUUAAUCUGUCACUUUUAUUUGUUGGAGCAAAUAGUCAUGAUUUUAUUUGCAGGUCAGGAUGUCGAGGAAUUGCUCAACGCGCCACAACCGUCUAACCGCUGGUUCAGGCUGCUGCACAAGGAGUUUACUUAUUGGUUUGGCAGUGUCGAUGCGCUAAGCUUUCUAAUACUGGUACUGUUUUUUCGUAUGAUAGAUGCGAAUGCAAUUUAAUUGAAAUUUAAUAAAAAUUAUUUUUAAGAAAUGUGAGCAAAAUAGAUAAAAUUUGGUGAUUUAAAAUAAAUAAUUAAUUUUUUUAAUGAGUGGUAUUCUUUUGAAAUCCUUUAAACUAAAAAUAAAAAAAUCAAUAAAAAAAUAAAAUAAAAUAAAUCAAUAAAAAAAUUCUUAAAAAGUGUAAAA